This 1359-nucleotide long non-coding RNA is filed under the name Heterocephalus glaber (naked mole-rat). Its description in RNAcentral is "lncRNA (ENSHGLG00000048672.1)". The record is from RNAcentral. Lineage: Eukaryota; Metazoa; Chordata; Mammalia; Rodentia; Bathyergidae.
GAUUGAUUCCUUAACUCACCUCAUUUCCCAUAAGAAUAUUUGAUAAUCAUCAAUUCUAAAGUCAAUCCUAGAUAGAGAUUCUGAGCAUCAAAUCAAAAUCAAUGAGAAAAGGAAACUUGGUUCUUGUGGCUAAAGUGACCAGGAACUGUGUUCACUUGAAUAUUUCACUUCGCUAAACAAGUUAUGCAAUUUCACCCUAUCAAUGUGGACUAACAACCAGGAGCAUAGCGCCAUUUCUAUUACUUAUUCUCCUUCAUAAGCCAUUGAGAUUUCUCAUAAGAAAUGGGUUCUUUAGUAAGACACCUGUAGGUUUUACGUUUGUGUCCAAAUAGGUUAAUUUAGAUAGCCCAACUGAGCAACUGAGUAGAGUGGGAGUUGAUGGUGCACAUUCUGCUGACUUUGUGACCAGGUUUGUUUCUUGGUUUGGUUUGGCUUCUGCUAUGGGCCCUAAAAGAUUGAAAGUCUCUCAAGUCAUUUCUUUAUGAUGACAUAGGGUUAAAAAAAAAAAAAAGCAAAGCCAGAUAAAUACAAGAGAAUAAAAUCAAGUUGUCAAAAGUUCCACACACAGCUCUGACUUGUUUAGGAACCUAGGCAAAUUGAAAGCAAAAACAAGACAUACAAAUGGAGCCCAUGCUAUGUGACCAUGGGAAGCUCACUAGCUUAAGGCACUACCAUUUUCCUGGGACAGGCCCACAGCAAUUGGCUAUGGAAAUGUGGUUUUUCCAAUUUCCUUCUCUUCCCUUUACUAGAAGAUGAAUUUAGGGUGAUGAGCAGGGAGUAGGGCCUGCCCACAGCCACCUGUUUCCAGGUAUGUUCCAUCAGCAGGCAGAUUUUGAGCAGAGCACCCCUGUAGCUAACAAAGUUUUCUUCUAGUGCCAAUGUGUGGUCAUGUAAUGUCAUGUUAAAGCACCUUUAAUCUUUUUUGUUAUUUUAAAAUAAUAUAUUUGUUAAGUAGAUAAAAGAAACACUGGAAACUUGGGUGCUUCUCCUGGAAAGUUCAAAUGUAAAACACAAACAUGAUCUGGGUUUAUCUGGCUUUGUAAACAAGUCUGAAAAUGAAUGAGAGCUAAAUAUAUAAAGCAGUUAGCUAUCUAUCUUUUGUCAGUUUUUAACUGAGAUCUGUAUUUAACAUUUAUUUAUUAGUUUUUACACUCAGAAGAAAUACACUUUGAAUUUUGGCUAACAUUGUAGGAUGUUUAAUUGCUUUCUCCAUUUUUAAAACAUGAUUUCAUCAUUUUUGUAAACUUAAACCAUCUUUGAAUAGCCUCCUUUUCUUUUCCAAUAGACCAAUUACCACUCAUGAGUCUGCAGAACAUUUUUUCUGUAUUCUUAUAAUAAAUGUAAAAUAUUUGUAGCAAA